AGAUCAAGCUACAAAGGGCGCACGGUGAAUGCCCUGGCACUAGGAGCCGAUGAAGGACGUGAUAAGCUGCGAUAAGCUACAUGUAGGCGCACACAGCCUGUGAUAUGUAGAUUUCCGAAUGGGGAAACCCAUCUAGUUAUGCUAGAUACUGUAUACCGAAUACAUAGGUAUAUGGAGGUACACCUGGGGAACUGAAACAUCUAAGUACCCAGAGGAAGAGAAAGAAAAUUCGAUUCCCUAAGUAGCGGCGAGCGAAAGGGGAAGAGCCCAAACCAGGAACUUGUUCCUGGGGUUGCGGAUAGAUCAUAACGCUUUGAUUUCUUUAGUUGAAGAGAACUGGAAAGUUCCGUCGUAGAAGGUAAUAACCCUGUAGGCGAAAAGGAAAGAAAAGUAGAUCUACUCCAGAGUACCACGAGACACGUGAAACCUUGUGGGAAGCGGGGAGGACCAUCUCCCAAGGCUAAAUACUACCUAGUGACCGAUAGUGAAGCAGUACCGUGAGGGAAAGGUGAAAAGAACCCCGGAAGGGGAGUGAAAUAGAAUCUGAAACCG
RNAcentral lists this ribosomal RNA (552 nucleotides) under Clostridium botulinum D/C. RNAcentral describes it as "partial 23S ribosomal RNA". It matches the Rfam family "Bacterial large subunit ribosomal RNA", at positions 1 to 558 of the family's 2925-position model. Lineage: Bacteria; Bacillati; Bacillota; Clostridia; Eubacteriales; Clostridiaceae. The record is from RNAcentral.